GCCGUGCAAUUCGUCAGCCUCCCCGUGGCGCACAGCGGGCAACGGCGCAGUGCCGGCCAAUGACGAG
This 67-nucleotide ribozyme is filed under the name unclassified sequences. RNAcentral describes it as "HDV ribozyme from F. prausnitzii". It matches the Rfam family "HDV ribozyme from F. prausnitzii". The record is from RNAcentral.